AUACGUAGGGGGCGAGCGUUGUCCGGAAUGAUUGGGCGUAAAGGGCGCGUAGGCGGCGCGGUAAGUCUGGAGUGAAAGUCCUGCAUUCAAGGUGGGAAUUGCUUUGGAUACUGCCGCGCUUGAGUGCAGGAGAGGUUAUCGGAAUUCCCGGUGUAGCGGUGAAAUGCGUAGAGAUCGGGAGGAACACCAGUGGCGAAGGCGGGUAACUGGACUGCAACUGACGCUGAGGCGCGAAAGUGUGGGGAGCAAACAGGAUUAGAUACCCUGGUAGUCCACACUGUAAACGAUGAAUGCUAGGUGUAAGAGGUAUCGACCCCUUUUGUGCCGGAGUUAACACAAUAAGCAUUCCGCCUGGGGAGUACGGCCGCAAGGUUGAAACUCAAAUGAAUUGACGGGG
This 397-nucleotide ribosomal RNA is filed under the name uncultured bacterium. RNAcentral's name for it is "partial 16S ribosomal RNA". It matches the Rfam family "Bacterial small subunit ribosomal RNA", at positions 523 to 918 of the family's 1533-position model. The record is from RNAcentral.